UACGUAGGUGGCAAGCGUUGUCCGGAUUUACUGGGCGUAAAGAGCGCGCAGGCGGUCGUUCAAGUCGCGUGUGAAAGCCCCCGGCUCAACUGGGGAGGGUCACGCGAUACUGAUCGACUCGAAGGCAGGAGAGGGUAGUGGAAUUCCCGGUGUAGUGGUGAAAUGCGUAGAUAUCGGGAGGAACACCAGUGGCGAAGGCGACUCGCUGGACAGACAUUGACGCUGAGGUGCGAAAGCGUGGGGAGCAAACAGG
RNAcentral lists this ribosomal RNA (253 nucleotides) under uncultured bacterium. RNAcentral's name for it is "partial 16S ribosomal RNA". It matches the Rfam family "Bacterial small subunit ribosomal RNA", at positions 524 to 776 of the family's 1533-position model. The record is from RNAcentral.